GACGAACGCUGGCGGCGUGCCUAAUACAUGCAAGUCGAACGCUUCUUUCCUCCCGAGUGCUUGCACUCAAUUGGAAAGAGGAGUGGCGGACGGGUGAGUAACACGUGGGUAACCUACCCAUCAGAGGGGGAUAACACUUGGAAACAGGUGCUAACACCGCAUAACAGUUUAUGCCGCAUGGCAUAAGAGUGAAAGGCGCUUUCGGGUGUCGCUGAUGGAUGGACCCGCGGUGCAUUAGCUAGUUGGUGAGGUAACGGCUCACCAAGGCCACGAUGCAUAGCCGAUCUGAGAGGGUGAUCGGCCACACUGGGACUGAGACACGGCCCAGACUCCUACGGGAGGCAGCAGUAGGGAAUCUUCGGCAAUGGACGAAAGUCUGACCGAGCAACGCCGCGUGAGUGAAGAAGGUUUUCGGAUCGUAAAACUCUGUUGUUAGAGAAGAACAAGGACGUUAGUAACUGAACGUCCCCUGACGGUAUCUAACCAGAAAGCCACGGCUAACUACGUG
This 508-nucleotide ribosomal RNA is filed under the name uncultured bacterium. Its description in RNAcentral is "partial 16S ribosomal RNA". It matches the Rfam family "Bacterial small subunit ribosomal RNA", at positions 28 to 507 of the family's 1533-position model. The record is from RNAcentral.